Gopherus evgoodei (Goodes thornscrub tortoise) is the source of this 101-nucleotide long non-coding RNA. RefSeq lists it as uncharacterized. The transcript is spliced from 3 exons. Lineage: Eukaryota; Metazoa; Chordata; Testudines; Testudinidae. The record is from RefSeq and is a predicted model, not a curated record.
GGGGGCUCUGCUGGACCCCACUCAGAGAGUCCUCUACAGGGAUGUCAUGCAGGAGAACUAUGCGAAUGUGACCUUGCUGGAGCUUCAAGUUCCCAGACCUC